RNAcentral lists this ribosomal RNA (496 nucleotides) under uncultured bacterium. Its description in RNAcentral is "bacterial SSU rRNA". It matches the Rfam family "Bacterial small subunit ribosomal RNA", at positions 355 to 843 of the family's 1533-position model. The record is from RNAcentral.
UGGGGAAUCUUGCGCAAUGGGCGAAAGCCUGACGCAGCGACGCCGCGUGAGGGAAGAAGGCUUUCGGGUUGUAAACCUCUUUCAGGAGGGACGAAGCUACUCGGGUUAAUAGCCCAGAGGGUGACGGUACCUCCAGAAGAAGCCCCGGCUAACUACGUGCCAGCAGCCGCGGUAAUACGUAGGGGGCAAGCGUUGUCCGGAUUUAUUGGGCGUAAAGAGCGUGUAGGCGGCUAGAUAGGUCCGUUGUGAAAACUCGAGGCUCAACCUCGAGACGCCGAUGGAAACCAUCCAGCUAGAGUCCGGAAGAGGAGAGUGGAAUUCCCGGUGUAGCGGUGAAAUGCGCAGAUAUCGGGAAGAACACCCGUGGCUAAGGCGGCUCUCUAGUACGGUACUGACGCUGAGACGCGAAAGCGUGGGGAGCGAACAGGAUUAGAUACCCUGGUAGUCCACGCCGUAAACGAUGGGUGCUAGGGUGGGGGGGGUGUCGACUCCCUCC